RNAcentral lists this ribosomal RNA (446 nucleotides) under uncultured bacterium. Its description in RNAcentral is "partial 16S ribosomal RNA". It matches the Rfam family "Bacterial small subunit ribosomal RNA", at positions 330 to 792 of the family's 1533-position model. The record is from RNAcentral.
GCCAGACUCCCACGGGAGGCAGCAGUGGGGGAUAUUGCACAAUGGGGGGAACCCUGAUGCAGCGACGCCGCGUGGGUGAAGGAGCGUUUCGGCGCGUAAAGCCCUAUCGGCAGGGAAGAAGGAGGACGGUACCUGACUAAGAAGCCCCGGCUAACUACGUGCCAGCAGCCGCGGUAAUACGUAGGGGGCAAGCGUUAUCCGGAUUUACUGGGUGUAAAGGGGGCGCAGACGGCGAUGCAAGCCAGGAGUGAAAGCCCGGGGCCCAACCCCGGGACUGCUCUUGGAACUGCGUGGCUGGAGUGCAGGAGGGGCAGGCGGAAUUCCUGGUGUAGCGGUGAAAUGCGUAGAUAUCAGGAGGAACACCGGUGGCGAAGGCGGCCUGCUGGACUGCAACUGACGUUGAGGCCCGAAAGCGUGGGGAGCAAACAGGAUUAGAUACCCCAGUA